RNAcentral lists this long non-coding RNA (1471 nucleotides) under Homo sapiens (human). RNAcentral's name for it is "HSALNT0071818". Lineage: Eukaryota; Metazoa; Chordata; Mammalia; Primates; Hominidae. The record is from RNAcentral.
GUGAGUUCUUGAUCUAUUAAUUCCUGUGAGAACUGAUUGUGAAAAACAGCCUGGCUCCUCCCUCCCCGCUCUCUCUUGCUUCCUCUCUCACCAUAUGAUCUGUACACACCAGUUCCCUUUUGCCUUCUGCCAUGAACAAAAGCAGCCUGAAGCUCUCAUCUGACAUACAUGCUGGUGCUGUGCUACUUGCACAGCAUGCAGAACGGGAUCUUUCUGGAGGAAAAGCUGGGGCCAGCCAUGGCAGGAGAGGUAUGGAAUCUGCCACGUGAGGCCUGCUGUUUGCCUGCCAGCCCAACUUCCUGUUGCUUGCCCCUACCCUCUGCGCCUUUGCCUGUCCUCAGGCCGCUGGAACAAAGGAAGGACAGCUCAUUCCCCAUGGGCGAUAACUUCGCACCUAAAGGGUAGAGCCUGGGGGAGCUUGAGGGUGGGCUGGGGGCUCCUUGUCUUGGGUUCACAGCUGUCUCCACGCCCCGUCCCUCAGCACUACUGGUGCCACCUCCCACACUGGGCUGCUGCUUUCUGCGCAGCCACUGCGCCGCCUCCCCCAAACUGUCAUGGAAAGAGUGGAGAAUGGGGGAGAACCAGGCGUCCUUGGAGGCAGCCUGGGAGGGCGACUGUGUAAUGUCACCCACAAGGGAGGCUAGGGCAACGGAGCAGUCCAACAGCAGCAGCAGCUGCUGCGUGAAUGUGCAGCAUGGAACCCGGGCCAGGCCAGGAUCCGGGGUUGUGGGAUCUGCUCGGAGUUUUCUGCCCCACACCCCGAGCUUCUGGCAAGGAGCAAGGCUUGCGAACAAGUCAGAAGGAUUUGAACUGAGCAGCUAAUCUUUUCAGCGCCCAACCCCCACCCCCCACCCCGCAAACACUAAACUCUGCCUGGAGAUGCAGCGGCCUGUGUCAUCCAGGGCCUCUGGUUUGUUGUAUUAUAGUAUAUUUCGCUGUGGAAAAUAUCACGUUUAUUCACCUUGCAGCCCACUCACCUGGUCCUGUUGUUUUACCCCAUCUCUUCUCCCGCGCGCCCUUUGAUUUCUCGUUUCUGAGAAGAGUACACCGUUCACUAUUGUAGAGUAAUCCCUGUGACUCAGUAUUACCAUAGCGCGAUGUCGUUUUGUGCUAUUUUGAACAAUUAAAAUACUUUUUGAAAUAAAAAAAAGAGAAAGAGUCUUCAAUUGUGUUCAGUAAUGGUCCAAAAUCCUGGAGUCACUCAAAAUUCACAUUCAUUUAUCAGCCAUAGUUGGUGAAUGUUCAAUGUUCAUGAUUGCUUAAAAGCUUCAGCUGGUUAGCACUAGUUAGGGUGAAACACAGCAUAUCAUAUAGUCCAAUUAUAUCAUAGGCAAUCACUGCUUUAAGUUGAAAAUCUUUCUUUUAGAUAUCUCAUUGUUGCCAUCACUUACCAUCUACUAUAAUUAUAUAGAAGGCUUAUAUUCUAUUCUGGUGAUUCACUUGAGCAUUUAACUGCAUUCUUACAUUCUUC